UCCUGCCUCAGCCUCCGGAGUAGCUGGAAUUAUAGCAAUACAUGUCUACUGAGAAAAAUUAUGAAGAAAAAGAUAAAAGUAGAAAGAUGUGUCAAUGCAAAUAUAACAAAGGAUGCUACAAGGAUGAUUAGGUAUUGUGCAUAUGCCAGGAAAUAUUUUUCAAAUGAGUGAGUCAAUAAAUGAGAGAAUAGGUUCUGGCUGA
RNAcentral lists this long non-coding RNA (202 nucleotides) under Homo sapiens (human). RNAcentral's name for it is "HSALNT0394727". Lineage: Eukaryota; Metazoa; Chordata; Mammalia; Primates; Hominidae. The record is from RNAcentral.